CAUUAAGUAACUUAAAGUAAGUAAAGGUCUCUUAAACCUAACAAUAAUAAAUUAACACAUAUUCUUAAUGA
Molecule: transfer RNA, 71 nt
Filed under: Chimarra paramonorum
Lineage: Eukaryota; Metazoa; Arthropoda; Insecta; Trichoptera; Philopotamidae
Description: tRNA-Lys
Source: RNAcentral